This 130-nucleotide small RNA is filed under the name Escherichia coli. RNAcentral describes it as "RtT sRNA". It matches the Rfam family "RtT RNA". From Rfam's summary of the family: This family represents a bacterial cis-regulatory element known as RtT RNA. The exact function of RtT is unknown although it is thought that it may be involved in changing the cellular response in relation to amino acid starvation. The record is from RNAcentral. Lineage: Bacteria; Pseudomonadati; Pseudomonadota; Gammaproteobacteria; Enterobacterales; Enterobacteriaceae.
UCUGCCCAUGCGGGGAAGGAUGAGAAGCUUCGACUAAGGUUCGACUCGAGCGCCAGCGAGAGAGCGUUGCCGCAGGCAACGACCCGUAGGGCGAAGCGCGCAGCGCUGAGUAAUCCUUCCCCCACCACCA